This is a non-coding RNA of Ictidomys tridecemlineatus (thirteen-lined ground squirrel), 3583 nucleotides long. Lineage: Eukaryota; Metazoa; Chordata; Mammalia; Rodentia; Sciuridae. The record is from RefSeq and is a predicted model, not a curated record.
GAUUGAAACCACAUGUGAGGCAAGCGCUCUACUGCUGAGCCCCAGCCCCAACUCUGAAGUUUACAUUUUGGUGGGGGAAUCAGAUGAAAAUAUAUGUUCCCAAUUGGAUGGUGUCCCCUACAAUGACUCAUCCAUGUCCUAACUCUCCUACCCACGAGUGUGACUUUAUUUGGAAAUAGUCGUUGCCGAUCUGACUCGAUAAAGAUGAGGUCAUACUGUAACUGAUGACUGGUGUCCCUUUGAGAGGGCAACUUGAGCAGAGACAUUGAUGCACAGGAGAGAAAGGUGGACUGAGUUGCCAGCCACAGCCAUGGACGCCAAGGAACUCCGGCACCGCCCGAAGGCACCACUGCCCCUGAGCCUGCAGACACCUUGGCGGGGGACUCCCGGCCUCUACCCUUGGAGAGAAUGAAUUCCUGUUGCUGUACACCCGGGCUUCCUGCCGCCUCAUCUGCAGAAUCUCCACAGAGCAAGCCACGGCUUCACAGCAGUAGAGCUGCUGGUCUCCCAGCUGCUGACCUCAGGGGACUGUGUAAGAAAAAUGGCACUCGGGGCCACCGGGACUGACUCCAGGGCACUAGCCACUCCUGCAAGGGCUCUGGGACUAACCACCAUGUCCUGCCUGUCUAUUGCCUGAGCAGGGACCCAUUCUCCUUCUCUGCUCAGGUCUCAUUUGGGGCAGGAAGAAGACAGGCCAUCAGCUCUGGGGACAGUAGCCCGCGAGGGCUGGGAGUUUGUUUGCUAUGUACAUGGUGGGAGUCUGUAUAACUGUGACACAUACUCCCUCUGAAAACCAACGUGUGUAUGAUACAUCUGUACCAAAGGAAGGGACUUCACACUCUUUCCUCAGUCACAUGGGUUGAGAAACUGCCCCAUGAUACUGGCCAUAUAGUUGAUAAAGCUGAUCAAUGCCACAGAUACAGGACCUGUUUCUCAGGCAGAGUCACUCCCAUCAUCAAUGAUCACUGUUUGCCAGUGACAGAGUCUAAGGCCAAGGAGGAACCUGGGAUCCCUGUGGUCUUAUCCAAGACCCUAAGAUAGUAUGUAGAGCUGUCCGGAGUGUCCACGCUGGCCACGCCAGAUGCCUUUGACAGAGGCCCCCAAGUCAGGAGGAGUGUGGGAAGACAGGGCAGGUGGGUGCAGCUCUCCUUCAGGAAAACUGGCUGAAUUCAACUACACGAGAACAUAGUUCUAAAUGCACCAUUGCACUGUGAUGUUUGAGGAAGCAACAUAAAGAACACUGGGGUUGGUGCAAAGCUGGGGCCUCUGCAGGGGCGCUGUGCUGAUUUAUGGGUUGCAGGAGCAGCAGAAGUAACUAAAGAGCCUGCUCUUGUAGCUGAGCUUCAUCCUCCGUGGCUGAUAUAAAUUAAUGCAAAUGUGAAAGGAAAACAACAGCUAUAUUGUGCACAAUUAAAUGCAUUAACCAAACACAAGAGCAUCUGAAUACUAAUGUUUUCACAACAGUUGGGCUUUGUGUCCCUGAACACAGUUAUUUGUGAGGCACAGAGAAGCAUUUAUUUCCCAAAGUAGUUUCUCCCAGCGGUAAGAAGUGUGAUGUGAAGUCUAAAUCUGUGGACGUGCGACGGUUUUGGUGGGACAAGUAGCGCUGAAAUGCCUCCGUUUACACAUUGAGGCUCCCGAAGACUAUUGUGUAGAUGUUAUUUAUGGAACAGAGCAUUUAUUACCAAAACCAGUGGAACACGCAGACCUGAUUUUACCUGAAGAGGUGCUCCUAUCUCCUGUAGGAUGGACCAAAUCCUACAAUCACAGGAAAACUUCUUUAAAGAAGAACACACCUCAGUCCUCCAGCCAGAAGGACCCCAGCUGCGGGGAGCGUCCUGGCCUUCAGCAGGGCCACAGGAGAGGCUGAGCCCAUGGGGACCUAGGCCAGGUCUCAGCGCUUCUCGACAGACCACACCUUCGUCCUUCCUGCCUUCCGCCGCCUGGGCUGGGCUUCUGCCGCAGCAGGGUGGCGGCUCCCUGCCCUCAGGUUCCCUUCAGCCAUCAACAGCUGGGAGGGUCCCCUGGGGCUUUGCAGGGGAAGGCCGCAGCAGCGGUGCCUGGCCUGGCCCCCUGGCUCGGCUCCCUCGCCCACCCAGGACAGGCUCCUCCUGUUCUUCCCUGGUUCUCUAACCAGUGCCAGCAUGGGCCACGCCAGCCAAAGCCCAUGAUGGCCUGUGUCCUGGCCCUGUGCUGGCCCAUCCUGGGCAGCCUGACCACACCCCUCUGGACAUGCCUUGUCUUGUGGUCAGUGCUGCAGUGAUUGCUGAUUCCUUGGAGUGGCUCCCGGUUUGCUCACCUAUUCUCCCUGGUUCGGUGACCACCUCUCUGGGGACAGGAGCCAUGCAAUGUCCAGCUGUGACUAUCCAGCACAGUGCUGGGACCUCGAUGGACGCUCACAGAGCCUUUGUGAUACUCUAGACAAGACGAUUCAGUAAAGCUCUGCAGCGUCAGCAAAGGAACCAGCCACGCCCCUUCUCAAACCGCACACCUGAAUGCAGCAUCUGAACUCCUCGCUCGUUUGAAAAAUGAUCUGUGGCGUGGCACAGACUUCCACAAGGCCUUUGGUACACAUGUGCCAAGCCGUCUGUCGAGAGCAAACCAAGCCCAAAGCAAAAGAAAUGGGUGUGGCCAGGACCAGGGGUCUGUAGAGGAUGUCAGAUGAGGCUGACCUCCAUCCUCUGGUGGCCUGCGGUGUCCUUAGGUGAGUCUGAGCCAGGAGAGCCUGUGUUGAUGCAUGGGAAGGUGUAGCUGCAUUCUAAUCUCUUAAAGUCCCUCUCAGAAACAGCACACUACUGUCUGGCUUGACGUUUUCAUCUAGUGUCGCCUGUAGCUGCUGCUGUCCACAGAAAGUGAGAGAAAUCCUCGUGGGGUGUCUUCCCUGCCUUUCCAGCGACCUGUGAAGCAGGCGGCUCUGUUGGCCCUUUCAUCCACCUUUGGAAACCGAGACCUGACAAAGCCACGCAGGGCUAUGCUACUCCAGUCCUCUCCACGUCUGGAGACUGUGGGCCACUGCCCACUGUGGUCGCCUCACACCUGGCCCUUCUGCACCCUGAGCUGGCCUGAACCGGAGCAAGGCUUUGCACCUCAGGGUAAAAGUAGCUGCAGACAAGUGACAGCCACACCUUCCAGAUGACAGCUACAUGAGGGUGGCCAGGAGGCGAAGGCAGUCACCAGUCCUGACAGGAGAGCUCAUCCAGUGUCCCCUGUAGCUGGCCAACAGCAAAAAGCCUGUGUGCACUCCGCGGCCUGUGCACACAGACACCUGCUUGCCGGCCUCCCUGCCCCUCUGGUUACAGUUUACAGUGCUGUCCUUGGCAGAAUCCACAAGUGACGUUCAACCCAGCGCCACUCAGGAACCCCACACAUUCUAUCCCGGCAGUCUGUCCAUCCGACAUUUCCCUGGAGUCAUCUGGAAACACACCACAAUAACUCCGGUGCUUGUUUAGAAAACGGCCACUCAGCCCUCAGCUUGCUAUGACCAGAAAACGACAUAAAUGAAACACUCAUACAGGACAAUCUCCAGUGAAGUUGUGGUGACAAUGAAUUCCGUCCUGUAUUCAAAUACUUUUUUUGUAACCUA